GAUGAACGCUAGCGGCAGGCCUAAUACAUGCAAGUCGAACGGGACUUAGUAGCAAUACUAAGUUCAGUGGCGCACGGGUGCGUAACGCGUAUGCAACCUACCUUAAACUGGGGGAUAGCCUUCCGAAAGGGAGAUUAAUACCGCAUAAUAUCACUUGAUGGCAUCUGAAGGUGAUUAAAGAUUUAUUGGUUUAAGAUGGGCAUGCGUGCCAUUAGCUAGUUGGUAGUGUAACGGACUACCAAGGCGACGAUGGCUAGGGGUUCUGAGAGGAUGAUCCCCCACACUGGUACUGAGAUACGGACCAGACUCCUACGGGAGGCAGCAGUAGGGAAUAUCGGGCAAUGGACGGAAGUCUGACCCAGCCAUGCCGCGUGCAGGAAGAAGGCCUUCUGGGUUGUAAACUGCUUUUAUCUAGGAAGAAAACACCCAUGCGUGGGAAACUGACGGUACUAGAUGAAUAAGCACCGGCUAACUCCGUGCCAGCAGCCGCGGUAAUACGGAGGGUGCAAGCGUUGUCCGGAUUUAUUGGGUUUAAAGGGUGCGUAGGCGGCCCGUUAAGUCAGUGGUGAAAGCCUCCAGCUCAACUGGAGAACUGCCAUUGAUACUGGCGGGCUCGAGUACAGACGAGGUUGGCGGAAUUG
RNAcentral lists this ribosomal RNA (641 nucleotides) under uncultured Adhaeribacter sp. RNAcentral's name for it is "bacterial SSU rRNA". It matches the Rfam family "Bacterial small subunit ribosomal RNA", at positions 28 to 669 of the family's 1533-position model. The record is from RNAcentral. Lineage: Bacteria; Pseudomonadati; Bacteroidota; Cytophagia; Cytophagales; Hymenobacteraceae.